UAAGUGAAGAUAUUUAGUUAAAAGUGGAAUUAAUGAAUGAUUCAAAACUUUUAAUUUUUAUCACUAAGUUUUGUUACUUUUUAAUGAUAUUAAUUUAGGAUGACAUGUGGUACUCACUUGUGUGAUGAUUUAUCACUCAUAUGGAGAGAGCUGGCCAACUUUCAUAUAUAUGAUUUAUUUUUCCCACCUUUUCGGAUUUGAAUGCCACUGGGGACAGUGUCGUUUAAGUCUGAGGGAGGUUCUUACUAACAUUGCCUUUAUUUUUGAGUUUUAUUAUUUUCGUUU
Molecule: small RNA, 285 nt
Filed under: Arabidopsis thaliana (thale cress)
Lineage: Eukaryota; Viridiplantae; Streptophyta; Magnoliopsida; Brassicales; Brassicaceae
Description: ATSL167060
Source: RNAcentral